RNAcentral lists this long non-coding RNA (1444 nucleotides) under Equus asinus (donkey). Its description in RNAcentral is "lncRNA (ENSEASG00005033085.1)". Lineage: Eukaryota; Metazoa; Chordata; Mammalia; Perissodactyla; Equidae. The record is from RNAcentral.
UGCCAAUCCCUCCAGAAUUGCUGGAUUGCUUAGAGACGAUUGACCCUGCUCCGUUUAGGCAGAAAAUGUUUAGAGUUUUAUGUUCAGAGCUCCCUGUUGGCCAACAGUCACCUCUGUAUCCUCUUGGGCCUGUGUGGUCCCCUACAUGAAAGUCAUGUGGAUGAUGCCUCAGUCCUCUCUCCUGGAUGGGCUUCCCACCUCUGCUUGACUGUCUCUGGGUCUAGUCAGUGUUUCUGGGCCAGCAUUUCUGUGAGGCUUGAAUUUGCAGGGGUGAAGACCCAGACCAUAUUAGAGCCCUGGAGUAGAAAGGAUUUUGGACAGUGAUUGUGGAGGUUAUGAUGGUGGUGAUGAGGAAGUGAUUGUAGAGGUGGAGAUGAUAAUGUAUGUAAUUAUGAUGGAAGUGAAGGACUGAGAGUGAUGGUGGAGGUGAUGGUGCUGGCAAAGGUGGAGGUGAUAGUGAUGGUUCUGAUAAAUGGAGAUGGUAGAGGUAGUGGAGGUGAUGAUGAUUGCAAUGGUGGAGGUGCUAACAGAGGUACAGAUGGUGAUGGUGGAGAUAGUAGAAUGAAGGGGUGGUGGUAAUGGUGAUGAGGGUGACAGUAAAAGUGGAGGAGCGAUGAAGGCAGAAGAGGUGGUGGGGGUGUUAUGUUGCUGGAAGAAGAGGUGGUAGAGGAGUUGGAGGUGAAGGUGGGGUGGCGGUGUAGAGUGGACAUGAGGGUGGUGCUCGGGCCACCAGAGAGCGAGGGAAAAUUUGAACUUACCCUGCGCAGCCCUCUGACUUCUAUUUUACAGCUGAGAAAAUGAGACCUCCAACAGUACCCGGCUUCUGAUACAAUCCCGGAAGGAGUUGGGGGCAGAUCCAGGCCUCCAGGACCAGUCCUAGGGCUCAGCUAUCUGAGGCUGGGACAGGGCAUCAGUGCCCUUUGGAAGCCAGGCAAAUGUCAUGCAACACACAGCCUGGCACAAGCAAGCUUUCGGUAAGGGCAGCUGCUCUGGUCGUCAUCAUCGUUGUUGUCAUCAUCAUCAUCAUCAUCAUCAUCAUCAUCACCAUCAUCAUCAUCUACUCCAACCUUCCCAUUUGGUGGAUGUGGAAACCGAGGCCCGGUGUAGGCUUGAAGAUGCGGAAGUUGCAUCCUGAUCUAGUCAUCUUUCGUUUGCUGAGAUGAGCACAGAGACGUUUCUGGUUCAAAUCCCAAAUCCACAACUUAAUCGGUUUACCUUUCUGAACCUGUUUCCUAACCUACAAAACGGAGUCCUGGGGCCUUUAUGAGCCCCUACAGAGUACUCAUAUUUCUGUUGCCACAAUGUGUGCUCCAGGGCAUUGAAACCCAGAUGAGAAUUUCAUCCAGAGAAAUAAAAAACACAAAGAUUCCCCAGGCCUCAGUUUCCCCAUCUUCAAGCCGAGCGUCUGCCCUAGAAGCUCCCGUGUCCGUCCGCAGUCGGCCCG